UACGAAGGGGGCGAGCGUUGUUCGGAUUUACUGGGCGUAAAGGGCGCGCAGGCGGCGUGAGAAGUCAGGCGUGAAAGCCCCGGGCUCAACCUGGGAGGUGCGCUUGGGACUCUCAUGCUGGAGUUCGGGAGAGGAGCGUGGAAUUCCCAGUGUAGAGGUGAAAUUCGUAGAUAUUGGGAAGAACACCGGUGGCGAAGGCGGCGCUCUGGACCGAUACUGACGCUGAGGCGCGAAAGCGUGGGGAGCAAAC
This 250-nucleotide ribosomal RNA is filed under the name uncultured bacterium. Its description in RNAcentral is "partial 16S ribosomal RNA". It matches the Rfam family "Bacterial small subunit ribosomal RNA", at positions 524 to 773 of the family's 1533-position model. The record is from RNAcentral.